GACGUAGGGCGCGAGCGUUGUCCGGAUUUAUUGGGCGUAAAGAGCUCGUAGGCGGCUUGUCGCGUCGACCGUGAAACCUCACAGCUCAACUGUGAGCCUGCGGUCGAUACGGGCAGGCUAGAGUUCGGUAGGGGAGACUGGAAUUCCUGGUGUAGCGGUGAAAUGCGCAGAUAUCAGGAGGAACACCGGUGGCGAAGGCGGAUCUCUGGACAGUUCCUGACGCUGAGGCACGAAGGCCAGGGGAGCAAACGGG
This 253-nucleotide ribosomal RNA is filed under the name uncultured bacterium. RNAcentral describes it as "partial 16S ribosomal RNA". It matches the Rfam family "Bacterial small subunit ribosomal RNA", at positions 524 to 776 of the family's 1533-position model. The record is from RNAcentral.